Oryza barthii is the source of this 205-nucleotide non-coding RNA. The record is from Rfam. Lineage: Eukaryota; Viridiplantae; Streptophyta; Magnoliopsida; Poales; Poaceae.
UUUAAGUGCAGUUAUGAGUUUUUUUUUCAACAUUUAACUGUCCGUCUUAUUUGAAAGUUUUUUAUGAUUAGUACUUUUAUUGAUAUUAGAUGAUAAAAUAUGAAUAUUACUUUAUACGUGAUUUAUUUUUUAAUUUUUUUUAUAUUUUUUUAAAAUAAGACAGACGGUCAAAUAUUGGAUAUCGAAACUAACAACUGCACUUAAA